RNAcentral lists this small RNA (108 nucleotides) under Bacillota bacterium. RNAcentral's name for it is "6S RNA". It matches the Rfam family "6S / SsrS RNA", at positions 40 to 147 of the family's 187-position model. From Rfam's summary of the family: E. coli 6S RNA was the first non coding RNA to be sequenced, but its function was unknown until recently. It consists of 184 nucleotides that fold into an extended hairpin structure with a large single-stranded internal bulge. The 6S RNA specifically associates with RNA polymerase holoenzyme containing the sigma70 specificity factor. The record is from RNAcentral. RNAcentral also lists the same sequence under 2 other names. Lineage: Bacteria; Bacillati; Bacillota.
UCCGACACAGAAGAUAUUGGGAGUUUGGAUGUCGUUUAUCGGUGUGAAGGCCUGUAAUUUAUGGGAAUCCUAAAAAUAAAUGCAGAACACCCACCUUGUAUAGAAGGG